Molecule: long non-coding RNA, 653 nt
Organism: Solea solea (common sole)
Lineage: Eukaryota; Metazoa; Chordata; Actinopteri; Pleuronectiformes; Soleidae
Exons: 6
Source: RefSeq, a predicted model, not a curated record
CUACUGGUGAGACUGCAGCUAUAUAUCAAACGGAGGACACCUCGGCUCACCCCUUCCUUUCCCAAGCACGUCAGGUAACUACGGUGGCCUUCGCAUACCAGAAAGGAUGUCGUUCUUCUUCAUUUGGUGGCGGUAAUGAAGCUUAAGCACUUGGCGCCACCCGGCAUUCAAACAGAAGAAGAGGGAAAUAAGGCACUUUUCCAAUUGCAAUGACCAUACUUGUGCACUCCUGUACUUGGAUAAGGACCUGUCCAGUGUGUCACUUUAGGCAUCUUCCUGUUUGAGCUUCCUCCUCAGAUCCAGAGAGAGCAGACGUCCCUGCAGGAUAAUACUCGGAUGAACAUUAUCUACAGACAACAGCCUCGGAUUUACCCAAGCUGCACUCCGGACAGGAAACUAUCCAUGACCUCUGUGUUGGAGGUGGCGUUGGAUUGCAGCAGGUCAUCACUUUCCUAAUCAGCUCUUCUGCUGGCUCCUCCACAGAGAGGUCAUCCUUCCCUCUGACGCAGUGCCCAUCUGCUGGUCAGAGUUAUGAAGAGGAAAUGCAGAAUUUCUUAAAACAUGCUCAAGAUAUGGAUACCUGAUUGAAUCUGGUUUACGUUUCCACAAAGAAGACAUGGUUGUCGAGGAGUGGGUGAGUGAGGAGGCUCUCA